This 247-nucleotide ribosomal RNA is filed under the name uncultured bacterium. Its description in RNAcentral is "partial 16S ribosomal RNA". It matches the Rfam family "Bacterial small subunit ribosomal RNA", at positions 523 to 769 of the family's 1533-position model. The record is from RNAcentral.
AUACGUAGGUGGCAAGCGUUGUCCGGAUUUACUGGGUGUAAAGGGCGUGUAGCCGGGCCGACAAGUCAGAUGUGAAAUCCGCGGGCUUAACCCGCGAACUGCAUUUGAAACUGUUGGUCUUGAGUAUCGGAGAGGUAAUCGGAAUUCCUAGUGUAGCGGUGAGAUGCGUAGAUAUUAGGAAGAACACCAGUGGCGAAGGCGGAUUACUGGACGACAACUGACGGUGAGGCGCGAAAGCGUGGGGAGC